GGAAAGAUGACCGAGUGGUUUAAGGUACGGAUCUGGAACGUCCGAGUAAGAUUAUCUUACCGAGGGUUCGAAUCCCUCUCUUUCC
RNAcentral lists this transfer RNA (85 nucleotides) under Ankyra judayi. RNAcentral's name for it is "tRNA-Ser". It matches the Rfam family "tRNA". Rfam says of the family: Transfer RNA (tRNA) molecules are approximately 80 nucleotides in length. Their secondary structure includes four short double-helical elements and three loops (D, anti-codon, and T loops). The record is from RNAcentral. Lineage: Eukaryota; Viridiplantae; Chlorophyta; Chlorophyceae; Sphaeropleales; Sphaeropleaceae.